UACCCCCUCUCCCCUCUCUCAUCCCUCACGUCACCCUCUUCUCUCACCCUCGAUUUACCGGAACAAGGAGGCAGACGCCACCACCGCGGUGUGCCGCCGCCUCCGGCGUCUCUUUCCCCUUCACUGGUGGACUCAGGGCCAGGAGCCACCGCUGCAGUCUCCCUUUCUCUCCCCUUUUCCCUCUAUGCCGAUGAACGGCGUAAAACGACGCUGUCUCCCCCUCUUUCUUCCCCUUUCUUCCUGCAGAUCUGGAACCGCACAACGGCAUAGCUGCCGUCGUCGCGCCGCCGCCGUUCGUCUGCCCAGGUAAACCCUAAUUCCCCUUUUUCAUUUUUAUUUUUUUCUAGGGCACAACAUAGCGUGGCUGUCUGAUUUGCAGAGGGAAUGAGGGAGGUCUAAAAACGAGGGAGGAGGGAGGCGGUGGCUUUCUGAUUUGCAGAGGAAAGAGGUGGUGGUGGGUGGCUUUCUGCCGCUGCGCCACAGAUCUGGUUGUGGGAGGAGCAACGGCGGUGACGGCGGGGUGAGGACAGAGAGAGAGCGCGGCGAUAAGGGUGUUUUUACAACUCAGACGAGGGUGGCUGGCGCUGGCGACUUCGCCGGAACAGGGGGCGAGCUGGUGGCUGGCCGCCGAUGAUUGGGUUCUGGUGGUCUGGAGAUUUCGCCCCAUUUUUUUUUAAAUUGUAGUUGAAAAUCAAAACGACGUCAUUUUGAUUAAAACUAAACAACGUCGUUNN
RNAcentral lists this long non-coding RNA (734 nucleotides) under Salvia miltiorrhiza (redroot sage). RNAcentral's name for it is "long non-coding RNA (SMIL_LNC000205)". Lineage: Eukaryota; Viridiplantae; Streptophyta; Magnoliopsida; Lamiales; Lamiaceae. The record is from RNAcentral.